GAUGAACGCUGGCGGCGUGCUUAACACAUGCAAGUCGAACGGACUGCGGGAGCUUGCUCCCAAAGUUAGUGGCGGACGGGUGAGUAACGCGUGGGUAACCUGCCCUAUGCAGGGGGAUAACGUUUGGAAACGAACGCUAAUACCGCAUAACCUAGUCGGUUCGCAUGAACUGACUAGCAAAGAUUUUAUCGGCAUAGGAUGGACCCGCGUUGGAUUAGCUAGUUGGUGAGAUAACAGCCCACCAAGGCAACGAUCCAUAGCCGGCCUGAGAGGGUGAACGGCCACACUGGGACUGAGACACGGCCCAGACUCCUACGGGUGGCUG
This 325-nucleotide ribosomal RNA is filed under the name uncultured Bacillota bacterium. RNAcentral describes it as "bacterial SSU rRNA". It matches the Rfam family "Bacterial small subunit ribosomal RNA", at positions 28 to 351 of the family's 1533-position model. The record is from RNAcentral. Lineage: Bacteria; Bacillati; Bacillota.